Molecule: non-coding RNA, 1122 nt
Organism: Poeciliopsis prolifica (blackstripe livebearer)
Lineage: Eukaryota; Metazoa; Chordata; Actinopteri; Cyprinodontiformes; Poeciliidae
Source: the annotation of a RefSeq genome assembly
UGAAGAAGCCCUGCUGACAGAACUGAAAGUUUGAGGAAGAUGUCACCACAUCUCUGGGUCACGUUUCCUCUGUCGUCACAAUCGUUCUCAACACAGGAAGAAUAAAAAGCACCAAUUUGUUUUGGCAACAUUUUUCACUUCCUUUAGUAUUUAACUGUGAAAAACUCACUGCAAUCCAGGAUGAAGAGUCCAGUUGAGAAGCUGAUCACUUCUGCUGACAAUAUCCAGUAGAUCCAGUAGAUCCAGUAGAACCAGUUCCUCCUGAACAUCUGCCCAGCUGCUGAAGCCUCGUCUCCUCUCUGCUGGACUCCACCUCUCCUCUCCACCAGAGGGCGCCAUGCUCCAGUAGGCGGCGCUCUCCUUGUGCUCUGUGCUCCAGCAUUGUGUCAAUAAGAAGUGGUGCUGUGAAGAGAACAAUAGUCAGACUGAAUGUUGAACAUCAGCUGCUUUCUCCUGCUGAUUUAAACCUUGUUGGACAGAUGGAACAUUGGCUGUGGAUUAUUCUGGCUGCUCUUUUCUCUGAGUGUAAAGGAGACUCAGUGAAGCAGACAGGAGGAGAAGUUGCUGCUGCAGCAGGAGAAUCACUGACUCUGGGAUGUACUUAUGACAGCAGUGUGAGUGUCACAUUGUUCUGGUACAGGCAAGAAGAGAACAGCUUCCCAAAGUACAUGCUGAAGCAGCUGUCAUCAACAAAAUAUAAAGAUCCAGAGUUCAACAACAGAUUUGAUGCUGACUUCAAUAAAGAAAAGAAAUCCUUUAAUCUGACGAUCCAGGAUUUCCGUCUGUCAGACUCUGCUGUGUACUACUGCGCUCUGCAGCCCACAGUGACAGGAAACACCAGAACCCUGAACAAAAACCUGCAGUACUGCACAGCAGCCACUAGAGGGCCUCACUCUCUGUUAAUCCACUAAAACCUGCAGUACUGCACAGCAGCCACUAGAGGGCCUCACUCCCUGUUAAUCCACUAAAACCUGCAGUACUGCACAGCAGCCACUAGAGGGCCUCACUCCCUGUUAAUCCACUAAAACCUGCAGUACUGCACAGCGGUAACUAGAGGAAUGUUUGAAAGAAUAUUUAAGCAUUUACUUACUAACAUACAUGUUGAUUUUGGCAGUAAUUAGU